CACAAGCGGCGGAGCAUGUGGAUUAAUUCGAUGCAACGCGAAGAACCUUACCAGGGCUUGACAUACACUGGAAUGGGCGUGAAAGCGUCCAGCCCCUCGGGGCCGGUGUACAGGUGCUGCAUGGCUGUCGUCAGCUCGUGCUGUGAAGUGUUGGGUUAAGUCCCCGCAACGAGCGCAACCCCUGCUAUCUGUUGCCAGCAAGUAAUGUUGGGGACUCAGAUGGAACUGCCGGUGACAAACCGGAGGAAGGUGGGGACGACGUCAAGUCAUCAUGGCCCUUAUGUCCUGGGCUACACACGUGCUACAAUGGCCGGUACAGAGCGCAGCGAAGCCGCGAGGCAAAGCGAAUCGCAAAAAGCCGGUCUCAGUACGGAUUGGAGUCUGAAACUCGACUCCAUGAAGUUGGAAUCGCUAGUAAUCGCGCAUCAGCAUGGCGCGGUGAAUACGUUCCCGGGCCUU
Molecule: ribosomal RNA, 459 nt
Filed under: uncultured Spirochaeta sp.
Lineage: Bacteria; Pseudomonadati; Spirochaetota; Spirochaetia; Spirochaetales; Spirochaetaceae
Description: bacterial SSU rRNA
Rfam family: Bacterial small subunit ribosomal RNA
Source: RNAcentral